UGUGUGUGUUAGUGGAAGCGUCUGGAAAGGCGCGCGAUACAGGGUGACAGCCCCGUACACAAAAAUGCACAUACUGUGAGCUCGAUGAGUAGGGCGGGACACGUGGUAUCCUGUCUGAAUAUGGGGGGACCAUCCUCCAAGGCUAAAUACUCCUGACUGACCGAUAGUGAACCAGUACCGUGAGGGAAAGGCGAAAAGAACCCCGGCGAGGGGAGUGAAAAAGAACCUGAAACCGUGUACGUACAAGCAGUGGGAGCACGCUUAGGCGUGUGACUGCGUACCUUUUGUAUAAUGGGUCAGCGACUUAUAUUCUGUAGCAAGGUUAACCGAAUAGGGGAGCCGAAGGGAAACCGAGUCUUAACUGGGCGUUAAGUUGCAGGGUAUAGACCCGAAACCCGGUGAUCUAGCCAUGGGCAGGUUGAAGGUUGGGUAACACUAACUGGAGGACCGAACCGACUAAUGUUGAAAAAUUAGCGGAUGACUUGUGGCUGGGGGUGAAAGGCCAAUCAAACCGGGAGAUAGCUGGUUCUCCCCGAAAGCUAUUUAGGUAGCGCCUCGUGAAUUCAUCUCCGGGGGUAGAGCACUGUUUCGGCAAGGGGGUCAUCCCGACUUACCAACCCGAUGCAAACUGCGAAUACCGGAGAAUGUUAUCACGGGAGACACACGGCGGGUGCUAACGUCCGUCGUGAAGAGGGAAACAACCCAGACCGCCAGCUAAGGUCCCAAAGUCAUGGUUAAGUGGGAAACGAUGUGGGAAGGCCCAGACAGCCAGGAUGUUGGCUUAGAAGCAGCCAUCAUUUAAAGAAAGCGUAAUAGCUCACUGGUCGAGUCGGCCUGCGCGGAAGAUGUAACGGGGCUAAACCAUGCAC
This 869-nucleotide ribosomal RNA is filed under the name Escherichia coli. RNAcentral describes it as "partial 23S ribosomal RNA". It matches the Rfam family "Bacterial large subunit ribosomal RNA", at positions 321 to 1194 of the family's 2925-position model. Lineage: Bacteria; Pseudomonadati; Pseudomonadota; Gammaproteobacteria; Enterobacterales; Enterobacteriaceae. The record is from RNAcentral.